This 380-nucleotide unclassified non-coding RNA is filed under the name uncultured Rickettsiales bacterium. Its description in RNAcentral is "contains 16S-23S intergenic spacer region". Lineage: Bacteria; Pseudomonadati; Pseudomonadota; Alphaproteobacteria; Rickettsiales. The record is from RNAcentral.
UCCGGCUUAUCACCGGCAGUUUCCUCAGAGUUCUCGCCAUUACGCGUUAGCAACAGAGGACGAGGGUUGCGCUCGUUGCGGGACUUAACCCAACAUCUCACGACACGAGCUGACGACAGCCAUGCAGCACCUGUGCUCCCUCCAGCCGAGCUGAAGGACUCUCUUUCAAGUGUCCGCGAGGGGCAUGUCAAAUCCUGGUAAGGUUCUUCGCGUUGCCUCGAAUUAAACCACAUGUUCCACCGCUUGUGCGGGUCCCCGUCAAUUUCUUUGAGUUUUAAUCUUGCGACCGUACUCCCCAGGCGGGGUGCUUAACGCGUUAGCUACGCUACUCAGGGGGAACCCCCGAACAGCUAGCACCCAUCGUUUACAGCGUGGACUAC